AGAGUUUGAUCCUGGCUCAGGACGAACGCUGGCGGCGUGCCUAAUACAUGCAAGUCGAGCGGACAGAUGGGAGCUUGCUCCCUGAUGUUAGCGGCGGACGGGUGAGUAACACGUGGGUAACCUGCCUGUAAGACUGGGAUAACUCCGGGAAACCGGGGCUAAUACCGGAUGGUUGUUUGAACCGCAUGGUUCAAACAUAAAAGGUGGCUUCGGCUACCACUUACAGAUGGACCCGCGGCGCAUUAGCUAGUUGGUGAGGUAACGGCUCACCAAGGCAACGAUGCGUAGCCGACCUGAGAGGGUGAU
This 306-nucleotide ribosomal RNA is filed under the name Bacillus subtilis. RNAcentral's name for it is "bacterial SSU rRNA". It matches the Rfam family "Bacterial small subunit ribosomal RNA", at positions 8 to 304 of the family's 1533-position model. Lineage: Bacteria; Bacillati; Bacillota; Bacilli; Caryophanales; Bacillaceae. The record is from RNAcentral.